RNAcentral lists this transfer RNA (72 nucleotides) under Thermodesulfovibrio aggregans. Its description in RNAcentral is "tRNA-Val". It matches the Rfam family "tRNA". Rfam says of the family: Transfer RNA (tRNA) molecules are approximately 80 nucleotides in length. RNAcentral also lists the same sequence under 1 other name. The record is from RNAcentral. Lineage: Bacteria; Pseudomonadati; Nitrospirota; Thermodesulfovibrionia; Thermodesulfovibrionales; Thermodesulfovibrionaceae.
GGGCGAUUAGCUCAGUGGGAGAGCGCUUCCUUCACACGGAAGAGGUCGUGGGUUCAAAUCCCUCAUCGCCCA